This 253-nucleotide ribosomal RNA is filed under the name uncultured bacterium. RNAcentral's name for it is "partial 16S ribosomal RNA". It matches the Rfam family "Bacterial small subunit ribosomal RNA", at positions 524 to 776 of the family's 1533-position model. The record is from RNAcentral.
UACGUAGGGUGCAAGCGUUGUCCGGAUUUAUUGGGUUUAAAGGGUGCGUAGGUGGCUGAUUAAGUCAUGGGUGAAAGCCCGCAGCUCAACUGUGGAAUUGCCUGUGAUACUGAUUAGCUUGAGUGCGGUUGAGGCAGCUGGAAUUGGUGGUGUAGCGGUGAAAUGCAUAGAUACCACCAGGAACACCGAUUGCGAAGGCAGGUUGCUAAGCCGUAACUGACACUGAGGCACGAAAGAGUGGGGAGCAAACAGG